This 836-nucleotide long non-coding RNA is filed under the name Mus musculus (house mouse). RNAcentral describes it as "long non-coding RNA chr1:185345422-185346258". Lineage: Eukaryota; Metazoa; Chordata; Mammalia; Rodentia; Muridae. The record is from RNAcentral.
GUAAGGUCCAUCUGCGUGCUUUGUGCUCUCUUAGUCCGGGGCUGCUGCCACUGGGAAGCAAAAACAGUUUGUCCAUAAGAUGGAAAGUUUGUGGUGACAAAAUAGGAGCAGCCAGUCAUGGAGUCUGCCAGAACCAGCAGAAGUAGCAGGGAACACAUGGAUGUGUGACCAACCCUCAGCUCUCUGCCCUCUGCAGAUCUCCUGUCUUCUGAAACCAUUAUUAAAAGUAGGUUUCAUGAGAGUCUUCGCUCUUAGGUAGAUUUGGUAAGAAAGCAUUAUGUGGGCAGUGGGACUGGUCAUUUCUGAAAACCAUAGACAUCUUGUCAGUUGGGCUGAAGGGGUGGGUUGGUAGUUAAGAGCUGGUGGUGAGGACCCAGGUUCGACUCUCAGCAACCACACUGGGUGGCUAACACUGCCUGUUCCUCCAGCUCCAGGGAUCCUGGUUUUAAAUCACUCAACAUCGCACUUACAGAAACAUUACUAUGAGGGAUAAAUUCUGUUCUGUGGGAAGAAGGAUAAAAGGAUAAGAAGACAUGAUAUCAGAAGCCACCCACUGUGCUGAGAGUAUAUGGGAAGAAAUUCUGGCUCAUGUUAAGUCCUAAGCCAGAGGGAUUUCUCUAGUCUAGCACCCAGUUUACAAGCCAUUCCAUUUUCCUAUGUUACUGUGAUUUGUGUCCUUAGUGUGUACAGGCCAAGCAUGGUGGCACGUACCUAUAGUCCUAGCACUUGAGAGGCAGAGGCAGGUGGGUCUGUGAGUUUAUUAAGGCCAGCGUGGUCUGUGUAGUGAGUUCCAGGACAGUCAGGGCUAUGUAGAGAGAUCCUGUCUUAAAAACACC